CCGAGGAAAAGAAAUCAACCGAGAUUCCCCCAGUAGCGGCGAGCGAACGGGGAGGAGCCCAGAGCCUGAAUCAGCAUGUGUGUUAGUGGAAGCGUCUGGAAAGGCGCGCGAUACAGGGUGACAGCCCCGUACACAAAAGCGCAUGUGCUGUGAGCUCGAUGAGUAGGGCGGGACACGUGGUAUCCUGUCUGAAUAUGGGGGGACCAUCCUCCAAGGCUAAAUACUCCUGACUGACCGAUAGUGAACCAGUACCGUGAGGGAAAGGCGAAAAGAACCCCGGCGAGGGGAGUGAAAAAGAACCUGAAACCGUGUACGUACAAGCAGUGGGAGCACCCUUUGGGGUGUGACUGCGUACCUUUUGUAUAAUGGGUCAGCGACUUAUAUUCUGUAGCAAGGUUAACCGAAUAGGGGAGCCGGAGGGAAACCGAGUCUUAAUUGGGCGUUAAGUUGCAGGGUAUAGACCCGAAACCCGGUGAUCUAGCCAUGGGCAGGUUGAAGGUUGGGUAACACUAACUGGAGGACCGAACCGACUAAUGUUGAAAAAUUAGCGGAUGACCUGUGGCUGGGGGUGAAAGGCCAAUCAAACCGGGAGAUAGCUGGUUCUCCCCGAAAGCUAUUUAGGUAGCGCCUCGUGAAUUCAUCUCCGGGGGUAGAGCACUGUUUCGGCUAGGGGGCCAUCCCGGCUUACCAACCCGAUGCAAACUGCGAAUACCGGAGAAUGUUAUCACGGGAGACACACGGCGGGUGCUAACGUCCGUCGUGAAGAGGGAAACAACCCAGACCGCCAGCUAAGGUCCCAAAGUCAUGGUUAAGUGGGAAACGAUGUGGGAAGGCCCAGACAGCCAGGAUGUUGGCUUAGAAGCAGCCAUCAUUUAAAGAAAGCGUAAUAGCUCACUGGUCGAGUCGGCCUGCGCGGAAGAUGUAACGGGGCUAAACCAUGCACCGAAGCUGCGGCAGCGACGCUUAUGCGUUGUUGGGUAGGGGAGCGUUCUGUAAGCCUGUGAAGGUGUGUCGUGAGGCAUGCUGGAGGUAUCAGAAGUGCGAAUGCUGACAUAAGUAACGAUAAAGCGGGUGAAAAGCCCGCUCGCCGGAAGACCAAGGGUUCCUGUCCAACGUUAAUCGGGGCAGGGUGAGUCGACCCCUAAGGCGAGGCCGAAAGGCGUAGUCGAUGGGAAACGGGUUAAUAUUCCCGUACUUGGUGUUACUGCGAAGGGGGGACGGAGAAGGCUAUGUUGGCCGGGCGACGGUUGUCCCGGUUUAAGCGUGUAGGUGUGUGUUCCAGGUAAAUCCGGUUCACUUUAACACUGAGGCGUGACGACGAGGCACUACGGUGCUGAAGCAACAAAUGCCCUGCUUCCAGGAAAAGCCUCUAAGCAUCAGGUAACAUCAAAUCGUACCCCAAACCGACACAGGUGGUCAGGUAGAGAAUACCAAGGCGCUUGAGAGAACUCGGGUGAAGGAACUAGGCAAAAUGGUGCCGUAACUUCGGGAGAAGGCACGCUGACACGUAGGUGAAGUGAUUUACUCA
Molecule: ribosomal RNA, 1528 nt
Filed under: Salmonella enterica subsp. enterica serovar Kottbus
Lineage: Bacteria; Pseudomonadati; Pseudomonadota; Gammaproteobacteria; Enterobacterales; Enterobacteriaceae
Description: partial 23S ribosomal RNA
Rfam family: Bacterial large subunit ribosomal RNA
Source: RNAcentral